Molecule: ribosomal RNA, 253 nt
Filed under: uncultured bacterium
Lineage: Bacteria
Description: partial 16S ribosomal RNA
Rfam family: Bacterial small subunit ribosomal RNA
Source: RNAcentral
UACGGGGGGGGCAAGCGUUGUUCGGAAUUACUGGGCGGAAAGGGCGCGUAGGCGGUUUGCUAAGUUGAAUGUGAAAACUCUGGGCUUAACCCAGAGCCUGCAUUCAAUACUGGCAGGCUAGAGUUCUGGAGGGGAUAGCGGAAUUCCUGGUGUAGCGGUGAAAUGCGUAGAUAUCAGGAGGAACACCGGUGGCGAAGGCGGCUAUCUGGACAGAGUCUGACGCUGAGGCGCGAAAGCUAGGGGAGCAAACAGG